RNAcentral lists this long non-coding RNA (4407 nucleotides) under Equus caballus (horse). RNAcentral describes it as "lncRNA (ENSECAG00000034288.3)". The record is from RNAcentral. Lineage: Eukaryota; Metazoa; Chordata; Mammalia; Perissodactyla; Equidae.
AUGCAGUAGGCGAUUUCAUCAGAGGUUAGAACAUGUGCUUGGCUUCUCCCCAGCAGGGAGUGUCAGGGAGCACCUCAGUGCCUCGGAGGAUGAGUCAUCAUUGAGGUCCUUGAGAACAGAAUGAGCUCAUCUCCCAACAGAGGCAGAGUGGGAGCUUGCGCUCAUCCCUUUCAUUUUCAAGGGCUGCAGGACCCUGUGUGGGUGGAGGAACAGGAAAGGCAAGCUUGUGGUGGGCUCCCAAGCUGCCUCCAUACACUUGUCUUUGCUGAUCCUCCCUUUCCUGAGCCAGGAGGGAACUGCUAUGACUGGCACCUUUCCUUCCAGAUUUGGAGCCGUGGUAGGAACUGAGGACGUGGCCCUGCAGCUCAGAUCUGGGAGGCACAUGCCUGGGACAGGGGCUUGUGAUUACCCAAGCAGUUAUUUUGCAUCUCAGGUAACCAACCAGCACUUGAUGAUGCAAAGAGGAUGCUGCGUCUUUUGCUUCCUGUUUACCUGGGAGGAGGUGUGAAAUGAAGUGCUAACGGCAGGGCACUGGAGAAAGUUUCAGUGGUAAUGUGUUUCUUGAGGAGGAAAAGCUUUCACCUGACGCAUUUCCUUGCCUGGAUUUGAGUCACACUGUGCUAUCUUAAACCGCCCUGGCUUUGCUUUUGAGAGAACCUAAAUUGAGUUGUCCUUGAUGGAUUCCCCUCAUCCUGCCUCUGGGAUCCUGUGCUCUCCUUCAGUUCCUGAGCCUCCUCUGCAGAAUCCUGUUGGGAAUUAAUCCAUGUCUUCCCUGAGUUUCCCUGUUUCAAUAAAUCCUCCGUAUACUGUAUCUAAUUUCUUCUGAAUUGAGGUGGGUGGUUGUAAAGCUAACCUGGUAGAAAAAUUUUUGUUAAGGAAUGUGCUACUAAUAGUGUCACAUUUAUACCUCUGGGAGCAUUUACAUUUUAAAGAGAAACUUUGAUGACUUUCCUCUAAGCAGGAAUUCCUGAGAGUAGAUGGAGGGAGCUGUUCUAAUGAGAACAACUUCUCCCACCUUCUCAGAUCACAUCCUGAAGGUGAUUGUCUUCUCUCACCCAUGAGACAAUCUUGUGUUGGCCAUUUCCCCAACUUAUAUUGUGUUGUAUCUCUACUGCAGACAAUGGUUAAAUUAUAAAUGUUAUAUCUAAGUGUGGACUUAAGAUAAUGAAUUAAUGUAAUGAAUUAAGUUGCAUUGAAAGAAACAUAAAUGUGGGAAUGUUUUGAUGACCAGAAGAGAGCAGAUGUUACUGCAAGGCUCCAGGAAGAGACUGGAGCAGGUACAAUAAGGAAAAGGUUAAAGCUAGAAACAAGAAACAGUAAGGGAUAAAAUACACAAAGGACUGGACAAAAGCAGUCACUUGGAACACAUCCUUGGGGAGGUAAAUUCUGUAAUAAAGGUUUGUUGAAUAAAUUAAUGCAUGAAUAGACAAUUUUUCCUUUCACAUCAGGAAAGAAUAUACAUGUGUCAUGUUUACCACGGUCCUUGUAACAUGGUGUGCUGAUUUCAAAAGUACAUCUACAAAUUCUUUGCUACUCCUCCGUUCAAGAGUUGGAGACUAAUUCCCCUUCCCUGAGUAUGGGCUAGAUUUAGUGACUUGCCUCUAAGGAAUAGAUUGAAAUGCAAGUGAUGGUGUGCAACUUUGGAGAACAGGUCAUACAAAGGCACUGUGGCUUCUGCCUUGCUUACGCCUCUCAAAUUGUUCCCUUGGGGGAAGUCAGUGGCCAUGUUGCUCUAUGGAGAGGCCCACCUGGUGAGGAACUUAAGCCUCCCAACAAGAGCCACGUGCUUGAGCUUGGAAGCUUUCUGAUUACUGCAGCCUGCAUGUCUCCCCACCAACAGGCUGACUCCAGCCUCAUGAUAGUCCCUGAGCCAGAAGGAUCUAAGUGAACUCCUUCGGAAUUCCUGACCCUCCGAAACUGGGAGAGAUAAUAAAUACUUGUUUUAAACUGUUAAGCUGCUAGAUUUUAGGGUAAUUUGUACAAUAGAUAAGUUUUAAUUAGUAAUUUGUACAACAAGAAUAGAUUAAUAUACAGGGCACAACCUCAAUGGUAGUGGUGGUAGUGGUUGUGAUGAUAAUGAUGAUGAUGAUGAUGAUGAUAAUGAUGAAGAUGAAGAUCUUGGCGAUGGAAGAGGAGGAGGAAGGUGGUGGUAUUAGCCCAAAACAAGUAUUACUCCCUGUUUGGGAGAAGAGACAAAUCUUUCUUAUAAACCCUUUUCAUAAUUUUUUCUUCGGCUUUUGUCCGAACUAUGAGACAGAGAGUGCUGUGAUGUCGCUUCAGCGGUGUGCUCUUGCUGGCGACUGGAAAAGCUUUAUUUGUUUUUGGCUGUGCUGCAUUCUCCCCUGGGACCCUGACUCUGUGACACUUUAUGAGAGGAUACACGCAGUGAUGUUUCACUUCAUACAGAGCUCUGCCUCGGUGUCAAGAGAAAUGGUCUUUCACUCUCUUUGUGAAAGUACAAGGCUCUGAGCAGUGUUAGUCUUACCAAAAUUACAUGUCUAGGACAAAAUUCAGAUGCAAUCUAGAGAUAUGUGCUUGCUUAUGCAUAAAUGACUGCUAUAACUUCUGACAUCUUCAGGCUUUAAAAUGGAGAUGAGAACAAUUUGGGUUCUGCUGGUCACUCACCUUGGAUUGAUGAGCUGUGGAGGAUCACGUAAUGGUAAUGGUAAUGAUAGUAAUAGCUACUAUGUGUAGGCCAGCCACUUCAUGUGAACAUAUACAUCAUCUGCUAUGCUCAUCACAACCCUGAUUACUGAGAAGACUGAGUUUCAAAGAAGUUAAUUAACCCAAUGUCACCAGUAGCGAUGAGGCUGGGCUUCAAACCCAGUUCUGAUGAUCUCCAAAGAAUGACUUCUCUCCACUGUACCACACUGUACCCUUUCUUGCUACACAAACAUUGACAACUUUAAGAAGAUAAAUGCUUGUAUCCAGUUUAUGGAACUAUUUGCAAUUGAUGGUACAAAUAUAAAAGUUUGAUUUUUCUUCAAUAUCUGUUUUUGUUAUGCUCUGUUCAAUCGCCUUUCCCCAGCUGUAAAUGAGAUUUGGGGCAGCAAUAUAGCUUUCUGAUCACUCUUGGUUAUUAAGAGAUUUCAGUCUGUGGUAGGCAGCUCCUAAAAUGGCUCCCAUGUUAGAGAGACCCACGUGGCAAGGAACAGAGGUGGCCUCUGGUCAACAGCCAGGGAGAGGGAACUGAAUCCUGCCAACAAUCACAUGAAUGAGCUUGGAAUUGAAUCCUUUCCUAGUGGAACCACGAGAUGAUUCAGCCCCAGCUGCCAUCUUGAUUGUAGCCUGAAGAGGAGGACCCACCUAAGUUGUACCCAGAUUCUUGCCUCAUAGAAACUGUGAGAUAAAUGUCUGUUGUUUUAAGCCACUAAAUCUGUUUUUCAGCAAAAGAUGACUAAUAUAGUUUGAUCCAGUUUAAAGUUUCAAUGUGACAUCCAAUUUAAUGUUCAUUUCCUCUCCUCGUCCCCUCUCCUUUCUGGCUAUGGCUCAGAGACUUGCAGGACCUGCUCUUUCAUCCCUUCCCUGACCCGUGCCAUUUCAGUUCCUGCCUCCCCUGGGUUGGGGCUGGGUGGAGAGAUGGAAAGACACAAGGAUCUCUUACUUGACUGGUGCCUUUGUCCUCUCUGCUCUUGCUGCUUUUCUGGCUUUGUUGAAAUGCCUGUUGGACAAGGUUCACAUAAUAGCUCUCCUCUGGUAAGUAUGUGUGGUUGAGUUCUCUGUAGAACCCUUUGGAGCUUCCCCCAGUGUCUUGGUCUUUUCUGUUUCUGCCUACACAGUUUCCAUCCCAGAUAGUCCUCUCCACAGGUUCUUACUGUUGGAAUCACCUGUCAGUGGGAUCUUGAAUGGGUACCUGCAAAGUGGCUCAAGUCCAGCUACCUUCAGCUGUGUCCUUUUCCACUGUCCCUUUGCCACCAGCGUUCUUUGCCCUGCUGUUCCCUCCUAUUAGGAUUGCUAGAUUUGGUAAGUAAAAAACACAGGAUGGCAGUUAAAUUUGAAUUUCAGGUAAACAAUGCAUUAUUUUGUAGCAUAAGUAAGUCUCAUGCAUCCUGUAUUUUAUCUGGCAAGUCUACCCCCAUGCUUUUGCAUUUUUCACAAACAACAUACAGAGGAGAGGUCAGCAGGGCCAUUGUCCAACAAGGGGAUGAAAUGCUAAUAUCUCUCUGGUAGUCAGGUAGAAUGAUUUGCUUGGUUAGCUCCUUGCUUGACUUGAGAUGAGGAGCACGGGGAAAGGAGGGAAAAAAACGCAUCAUGAAUAGUGCAUUCCAUUGGCUUGUCUUUCCAAUGGUUCCUUCAUUCUCACGUUUGCAUUUGUAGGCUAAGAGAGAGAUGGGCAGCGAAUUUUUCUGAGAGUGUUCUGUGGGAGUGUCUGGCCCCAAUAGUGUGUUAUGUGAUGCUUUCUUGGAC